UAGGGAAUCUUCGGCAAUGGGGGGAACCCUGACCGAGCAACGCCGCGUGAGUGAAGAAGGUUUUCGGAUCGUAAAGCUCUGUUGUUAAGGAAGAACGAGUGUGAGAAUGGAAAGUUCAUACUGUGACGGUACUUAACCAGAAAGGGACGGCUAACUACGUGCCAGCAGCCGCGGUAAUACGUAGGUCCCGAGCGUUGUCCGGAUUUAUUGGGCGUAAAGCGAGCGCAGGCGGUUAGAUAAGUCUGAAGUUAAAGGCAGUGGCUCAACCAUUGUAGGCUUUAGAAACUGUUUAACUUGAGUGCAGAAGGGGAGCGUGGAAUUCCAUGUGUAGCGGUGAGAUGCGUAGAUAUAUGGAGGAACACCGGUGGCGAAAGCGGCUCUCUGGUCUGUAACUGACGCGGAGGCUCGAAAGCGUGGGGAGCGAACAGG
This 429-nucleotide ribosomal RNA is filed under the name Bacteroidota bacterium. Its description in RNAcentral is "Bacteroidetes bacterium partial 16S ribosomal RNA". It matches the Rfam family "Bacterial small subunit ribosomal RNA", at positions 355 to 776 of the family's 1533-position model. Lineage: Bacteria; Pseudomonadati; Bacteroidota. The record is from RNAcentral.